GAUUAGCCAUGCUAGUCGCACGAGUUCAGACUCGUGGCGAAUAGCUCAGUAACACGUGGCCAAACUACCCUUCGGAACACGAUACCCUCGGGAAACUGAGGCUAAUAGUGUAUACCACAUCACCACUGGAAUGAGUGAUGUGCCAAACGCUCCGGCGCCGAAGGAUGUGGCUGCGGCCGAUUAGGUAGACGGUGGGGUAACGGCCCACCGUGCCAAUAAUCGGUACGGGUCAUGAGAGUGAGAACCCGGAGACGGAAUCUGAGACAAGAUUCCGGGCCCUACGGGGCGCAGCAGGCGCGAAACCUUUACACUGCACGACAGUGCGAUAGGGGGAUCCCAAGUGCACAGGCAUAGCGCCUGUGCUUUUCGGUACCGUAAGGUGGUACCAGAAUAAGGGCUGGGCAAGACCGGUGCCAGCCGCCGCGGUAAUACCGGCAGCCCAAGUGAUGGCCGAUCUUAUUGGGCCUAAAGCGUCCGUAGCUGGCCGCGCAAGUCCAUCGGGAAAUCCACCUGCUCAACAGGUGGGCGCCCGGUAGAAACUGCGUGGCUUGGGACCGGAAGGCGCGACGGGUACGUCCGGGGUAGGAGUGAAAUCCCGUAAUCCUGGACGGACCGCC
This 617-nucleotide ribosomal RNA is filed under the name Halorubrum sp. I.C8. RNAcentral's name for it is "bacterial SSU rRNA". It matches the Rfam family "Archaeal small subunit ribosomal RNA", at positions 43 to 661 of the family's 1478-position model. The record is from RNAcentral. Lineage: Archaea; Methanobacteriati; Methanobacteriota; Halobacteria; Halobacteriales; Haloferacaceae.